This is a long non-coding RNA of Gallus gallus (chicken), 1580 nucleotides long. NCBI's taxonomy places the organism in Eukaryota, Metazoa, Chordata, Aves, Galliformes, Phasianidae. The record is from Ensembl.
GGAAGGGCAGAGAAAGGGAAGGGGAAGAGAAUAAAAAGGAAGGAGAAGAGAAGAGCUGCGCUGUCACUGCUACCGCCACCUCAAGAGGCCUUCCCAGGCGCUGGCCCAAGGAGGUCCCACAAAAACCACGACGUCAGGAAGAGAAUGCCUGGUAAUCCAACACACAAAGUGCUUUACCAAGACAGAGCCCAUAAGGCCGAGAGAAACUGUGAGGAACGUGGUGGGAAAAGGCGGGCAGGAAAGCACAAGAAGGGACCUCAAGGAUCAUGAAGCUCCAACCUCCAGACCCCGGCAGGGCCACCAACCUCCACAUUUCAUACCAGCCCAGGCUGCCCAGGGCCCCAUCCAGCCUGGCCUUGAACACCUCCAGGGAUGGACGGGGCAUCCACAGCCUCUCUGGGCAGCUGUUCCAACACCUCACCAUUCUCCUGGUGAUGAGCUACAGCCAGCUCUGUUGGCUGCUGGGUGUGAAGCGGGAGGACCCGAAGCCCGGUCCCUUGCACGCCGAUGUCAUAGGAACGAGAGCUUUCUUUCGGUCUUCCCUCUGGAAAGAGAUCUAAGAGUUCUCCUGUGAUCUCCAUCACGAACUGCUCGAGAUCGUCCUCUUCAGAGACGAGUGCUUCCCCCGCCUCUGCGCAGCUCAGCUGCUGUGUCUCAGCUGCGUCUUGUGAGGAAUAGGAUGGUGCACUUGAGACCUCCGACUGUGCCACGGAGUCCGCCUGGCUUCCUGGAAGCAGUUCCAGGCUUGGGAGGACAAGGAAGAGAACAAUCGGUACGUGACAUCUCUAACUGGAGAAGCGCUUUCAGCAAGAAGUCGUCCUCUGCGAAAACCUGUUUACUGACUGAGCUACUUUUCCCCACGACUUACUCAGCAGAGAUUUUGAGUAAGCAAUUGAAAUCAUUUCAGAGGACCUGUUCCUUUGUUGGAUUAUGCCACGACACAUCUCAAACACCCCCUUCUCCCCCUGAUGUGAAAGAACUUAUGUCUAAUGGAAAAAGGGCACUGAUGAUGAACGAGUUGUGGUCAUCACCUGCUUGGAGGUGUUUCGACUGCAGGAAUGGUCACCAGGCUGUCCCCGGGCAGGGCUGGAACGAUGGCCUAGGAAGAAACAAGACAUUGUGUAUGAAGCACGGGACAAAGAUUCCUAGGUAACUUCUUUUCCCAGAGAAGCUGCGGAUGCCCCGUCCCUGGAGGCAUCCAAGGCCAGGCUGGAUGGGUUUCCCGGCACUUGGAUCUCGUGGCUGGCAACCCUGCUCACAGCAGGACAGGUGGAACACGAGAUGAUCUCUGAGGACUCCUCCUCCCUUCCCUCAGCCUGAGCUGAGCCUGAACCCAAAUACGGAACCACGCUGCUCCCGAAGGAAGCAUUCUCUUGAAGGUUACAAGCGACCUUGGGUGUUUUUCACAGCGCAGCAUCAAUGGACAAAAUCCUUCCCACCACAGAGCCAUCUCCGAAUCCUAGAAUCGCAGACUAUUACAGAGUCAUCACUGCUCUACAUCUGAUCAAAACAGGAAGUUUGCACAAGUAUCCUGUGAGACAUCUGCUGCCUUCAAAGGAAACAGGAGACCUGCAGAACAU